UUGUACUUAUACUACAAUUCUGUACCUUGUUUGCAAUUAUAGAGAUGAGAUGUUGCAGAGUUCAAGGGUGAGCUUUAAAGACCUCCAUGUUCCAAAGAAUUUGUGCCAUUUGUUCAUGGUAGCCUAGGAGUCUUAUGUAUCUAUUUAUGUAUUAUUUCAAACAAAUGAUGUAUUCUUUUCAUACCAUCUGUAUAUUCUAAAUCUUAGUUGCUCAUGACUUGUGAUACCAAUUCUUGGAGGUAAUUUGUAAUAAAAUUUCAUUCUUUUGCUUCUUAUUAAUAUAUUAUCUCAUGUUAUGGUUUAUUCAUAUGUUGGAUGGUUCUCCUAAUAGGUUGAAUUAUGUGUCAUCAUGCCUGGUGGGAUUUGGGUCGUGACACUUCAUGUUCUUCGAUCUCAGCAACAAUGCCUAAGACAUCUACCUUAUUGCCAAACGUUGUUGUUGCUUCAAUUGUAGCAUUGUCACCAGCAAUAACUCUAGAAUUAACUCCACUAUCGACAUUGCAAUUUGCUUCAUCAUCAAUACAGAUUAGUACCACUUGGCUUGUCGUCCUCGGGCAGUGCAUGGACCUAUUGUUUUUCUCAGGACCACCUAGUUCUUGACCUUAAUCUCCAUCUCCAUAUCCACAACUAGAUUAGAGAAUUCAGCUGCAUUCUCAUCCACACUCGCUAUUUCCAUAUCCAAGCUUAGAUCAACAUCGACAUUUUCAAUGAGAGCCUUUUCAUUUUCCUUGUUGAUAACACAAUCUUGUAGCUGAUCAACCUUAGUGAGAUUCCCAUCGAUGGCACGUUGAGUAGGUCGAGUAGCAAUGAUCACGGGUGAAUUGACUUCAUUGUGCAUGUAAAUAACUAUCCUAAAUGCAUAUGACAUUUUAAAAAAAUACCAAAACCGCUACACAUUCUAAAAUUACUUACCUCUCUCGUUCUUGAUCAGUCCGGACAGAAUCCUAUGAUAAAUUCCGAUCCUCCUUGACAUAUUGGAGCAUCCACCAACUUAUCCUCAGUUGAUACUGAUUUGAACAAUACUUCCUCUAAGGAUGGUUCCGACAUUGGUCCUACAUAGCCUCUCGAAGACCCUUCACUACCUCAUUUUCUCCCUUCAUGUCUCUGCAGAAAAAUAUAAUGCACUGCCACCUAUAUUAUCAGAUUUUUCAUCAUUAUUCAAAGCCUCCUUUCUCAAACUCCUAUAAGAUCACUGUGGUGUGAUAAUGACAGUUACUCUAUUCAAUUCAGCCUUCACAACAUCCCCAGCUAGAUUCCUUACCUCAUCAUAUGUCACUAAAUGUUUUAUAAACUGCUCUACCGCCUCUCGCACUAUAGGAAUAAUGUAAGGGUGCACAAUCUGCAAAAGCACAAAAGGUUAACAAUUUGCUUAUAUGUUUGGAUAAAUAAUUUUACACUAUGAAACCAAGAAACCAAUAGCAUAUUUCAUACCUCCGAACCUAUCCCUUGACUUGAAAUGGGCCACCUUUCGCUCAAUUUAGAUGUAUGACAUCUCAACAUCUUAGAGUAGGCAAAUGAACAUCCCUUGACUUGGCAACAUCAUUUUCAAGAGCUGGAAAUGCUUCAUUUGCCCGGGCCUAUAAUGUAUUAAUCACACACAUAAUUUGCAAAACGACAAUAAUUAACUUAUUCUCUAUAAUCGACUACCUAUUGACACUUACCAUGAAUACCUAGGAGAAGCCAUAAAGAGCUUACGUGACAUUAACUUUUUCAAUGUGUUAUUUGUACUGUUUGAUCAUGUCUAUCUUGUUCUUCCAGUAGUCGAGAGUCAUGUCAAAAUAUUCCUUUUUCCUACGGAUAUAAGCUUAAGAAUACUAAAGAGGCCACCAUCUUACAACAUUUUAUCUCCACAACCUUGGAUUGGUCUUUCGCCGUAAGGAUGGUAUGCAGAAAUUACACCAAACAACACCUUAACUUUCUAUCAAAACUUAACCUGCUACCUUUCACCAACGAUAUUAACAUGUCUUAUGUAACCUUCAUGUUCUUGUUGUCCCUAAUAUUUUUGGCUAAAAUCUUCAUCUUUCUUCAAGACCUUGUUAUAUCUCUUAUCGCUGGAUAAGAGCUACAAUUCAACUCUGUUAUCAAUGCAAACUUGUUAAUGCUAAAGCACACUAAUUUUUUUUAUCUACAAGGAACUAGAACUCAUGAUUAUUUGGCUCUCUAAUUUGAUGAAAAAGAAGAUAAUGGGCCAUCUAUCCAUUGAAUUUGUUCCAGUGAUUCGACAACUUAAUAAAUUUACCGAAACAUGAAUUUUUAAAUUUCUGCAAUUAAGGUAUCAUCACCUGCAUUCACAUUACCUUCAUCAUCACCUCCCUCAUCUUCCUCACCACCUUCCUCCUCUUAUUGAGGAACUUUAUCUACUUCAACAACUUCAUCUUCAUCCUUGUUAUAAGCAUCGAUCUGACUCAUAGUAUUAUCUCUUUUAGAAUAUUUCUUCAACUGGACUUUGGGGUCCAAUUGUCGUUGCUAGAUUUUCAUCAUCCACAACUUUUGGUCUCUUCCUAUCUUUAUUAGAUGGGUUCCCAUAUGAUUUACGUUUCAUUAUAAUGAGGUAAUUUCUUUUCUGGGUAAGGUUGCUUGAUGCCUUUUUCGGCCUAGUAUAAACAAUCUUGUUAUAUAGUAUUACACUAAGAGACAACAAUUAGAAAAUUAAUUACAACAGGUCUAUAGUAUAUUUAUUGAGUCGAGGAAACAUGACAACUGCAACCACAACCUAAACUCAAAAAUUCGUUCAAAGAUUCGCGUUGUGGAAGAGAAAACAUCAUCGCUAAAAGUUUCAAAUAAACUAGAGAAAACGUAAAAAGAUAAUAUUAACGUUCUACCAGACAACAACACAACAAACAUAAUCAACCAAAAUCUUUCCAAAUAACACAACGAGGCGACAAAUUAUAGCUUUAUUACCCUAAAAAAAUUGGCAAAAGUUGAAACUUUAUCACAUUAGGGUUCCUCAAGAUUGGAACUUUAACCUUCAGGUUAGUGAUUGACUACCCCGCAAAAGAUGACCUUCAAAAGGCAAUGCAAUAAUGGAGAACACAAAUUUAUGCUCAAAUACCUUAAAAAACAACGACGUUCGUAGGCUGAAAUCCUUCGACGAAUUGGAGAUAGUGGAGAGCUGAGAGAGAGAGAAAUGCGAAG
RNAcentral lists this long non-coding RNA (3135 nucleotides) under Nicotiana tabacum (common tobacco). RNAcentral describes it as "long non-coding RNA (NTAB_LNC013042)". Lineage: Eukaryota; Viridiplantae; Streptophyta; Magnoliopsida; Solanales; Solanaceae. The record is from RNAcentral.